RNAcentral lists this ribosomal RNA (503 nucleotides) under uncultured bacterium. Its description in RNAcentral is "bacterial SSU rRNA". It matches the Rfam family "Bacterial small subunit ribosomal RNA", at positions 28 to 523 of the family's 1533-position model. The record is from RNAcentral.
GAUGAACGCUAGCGGCAGGCUUAAUACAUGCAAGUCGAGGGGCAGCAGGGGUAGGCAAUACUCGCUGGCGACCGGCAAACGGGUGCGGAACACGUACGCAACCUUCCCAUAACUGGUGAAUAGCCUUCCGAAAGGGAGAUUAAUACACCGUAACAUAAUGAAGUGGCAUCACUUUAUUAUUAUAGCUCCGGCGGUUAUGGAUGGGCGUGCGCCUGAUUAGGUAGUUGGUAGGGUAACGGCCUACCAAGCCUUCGAUCAGUAACUGGUGUGAGAGCACGACCAGUCACACGGGCACUGAGACACGGGCCCGACUCCUACGGGAGGCAGCAGUAAGGAAUAUUGGUCAAUGGACGCAAGUCUGAACCAGCCAUGCCGCGUGGAGGAUGAAGGUCCUCUGGAUUGUAAACUUCUUUUAAUUUUGGGAAGAAACCCACGAUUUCUAUUGUGGUUGACGGUACCAGAUGAAUAAGCACCGGCUAACUCCGUGCCAGCAGCCGCGGUAA